Molecule: transfer-messenger RNA, 352 nt
Filed under: Acidobacteriota bacterium
Lineage: Bacteria; Pseudomonadati; Acidobacteriota
Rfam family: transfer-messenger RNA
About the family: Bacterial tmRNA, also known as 10Sa RNA or SsrA, is named for its dual tRNA and mRNA-like properties. Its role is to liberate the mRNA from a stalled ribosome. To accomplish this part of the tmRNA is used as a reading frame that ends in a translation stop signal.
Source: RNAcentral
GGGGGCGAAACGGUAUCGACGGGAGUUAGAGCUGUCAGAAGGCAUGCCGGUCCCCACUUGUCCGUUAUCGAGUGGAAAACUAGAACUGCCAAUCCACAAUUGGCUCUGGCUGCCUAAAAUAGGCUAGCCCGUCUCCUCAGGCUUCGCCUGUGGGCCUGAGAUGAGGCGUCGCACAGCAGGCUGGCCGUUCGGUCUCGGCCCGUGAUCGAGCGGCGAGAACCACCGGGCUAGCCACCAGCGUUUCUUGCCGGUUCUGAGCGCUGACGGCGAACCCAAUGGAAUCGGAUAAGCAUGUAGUUCUUCUGACGGCAAGACUCUUCGGACGGGGGUUCGACUCCCCCCGCCUCCAUCU